Molecule: ribosomal RNA, 1979 nt
Filed under: human metagenome
Description: bacterial LSU rRNA
Rfam family: Bacterial large subunit ribosomal RNA
Source: RNAcentral
UAAAAUAAUUAAGGGCACACAAAGGAUGCCUAGGUAGUAAGAGCCGAUGAAGGACGUGGUAAGCUGCGAUAAGCCUAGAUAAGUUGCAAUCGAACGUAAGAGUCUAGGAUUUCCGAAUGGAGCAAUCUAUUAAGAUGGAGUCUUAAUACGAAAGAGGGAACCGCGUGAACUGAAACAUCUAAGUAACGCGAGGAAAAGAAAGUAAAAACGAUACCCAAAGUAGCGGCGAGCGAAAUGGGUCAAGCCUAAACCUUAAAUAUGUCAAGGAUACAGCCGUUGUAUUUAGGGGGUUGAGGGACAGAGUAGUGAAGAACUGUAAGAUAUUCAAUAUAGUGUAUUGAUGAAUUGGAAUUGUCUGGAAAGGCGAACCGUAGAAGGUGAAAGUCCUGUACAAGUAAAUCCUUACACAUAUAACUCUGCUCCCAAGUAACAUGGAACACGAGGAAUUCUGUGUGAAUCAGUGAGGACCAUAUCUCAUAAGGCUAAAUACUCUUACUAACCGAUAGCGCAUAGUACCGUGAGGGAAAGGUGAAAAGAACCCCUGGAGGGGAGUGAAAUAGAACCUGAAAUUGUGUGCUUACAAGCGGUCAGAGCCAGUAAUGGUGAUGGCGUGCCUUUUGGAGAAUGAUCCUGCGAGUUACGUUAAACGGCGAGGUUAAGUAUAACGGAGCCGAAGGGAAACCAAGUCUUAAUAGGGCGAUUUAGUCGUUUGGCGUAGACGCGAAACCUGGUGAUCUAAACCUGUCCAGGAUGAAGCUGUGGUAAGACACAGUGGAGGUCCUAACCCACCGCCGUUGAAAAGUUGGGGGAUGAGGUAGGUUUAGGGGUGAAAAGCCAAUCGAACUAGGAGAUAGCUCGUUCUCUCCGAAAUGUAUCUAGGUACAGCCUUGAGUGUUCAAUUAUGGGGGUAGAGCACUGAAUGAUCUAGGGGGCGUAUUGCUUACUGAAAUCAAUCAAACUCCGAAUACCAUAAUUUAUAGCUCAGGAGUGAGACUAUGGGAGUUAACUUCCAUUGUCGAAAGGGAAACAACCCAGACCACCAGCUAAGGUCCCUAAUUAUAACUAAGUGGGAAAGGAGGUGGAGAUUCACAAACAACUAGGAGGUUGGCUUAGAAGCAGCCAUACCUUUAAAGAGUGCGUAAUAGCUCACUAGUCGAGAGUCUCUGCGCCGACAAUGUAACGGGGCUAAGUUAUAAACCGAAGCUGUGGAAUCCGUAAGGAUUGGUAGGAGAGCGUUCUGUAGGCCGUUGAAGGAGAAGGGUAACCGACUCUGGAGGUAUCAGAAGUGAGAAUGCAGGAAUAAGUAGCGAGAAAGGGGGCGAGAAUCCCCCUCGCCGGAAGACCAAGGUUUUCAGGGUAAAGCUUGUCUUCCCUGAGUAAGCCGGGACCUAAGCCCAGGCUAUAAUGCGUAGGCGAAUGGAAAACAGAUUAAUAUUUCUGUGCCAGUCAUAUAUUGUGAUGGAGGGACGCAGAAGGGUAUGCGCGCGGACGAACGGAAGUGUCCGUAGAAGUAUGUAGGAUGACUUGAUAGGAAAAUCCAUUGAGUUAUAUCUGAGGUAUGAUAUACAGUCGUAAGAUGAAUGCGCAAAUCCCACGCUGCCAAGAAAAGCUUCUAACGUUAAUAUUUGACUGCCCGUACUGUAAACCGACACAGGUGGUCAGGAUGAGAAAUCUAAGGCGGACAGGCUAACUCUCGUUAAGGAACUCUGCAAAAUAACCUCGUAACUUCGGGAGAAGAGGAGCCCUUGAGGGUCAGUAUCCACGCGAUACAAAGCGCUCGAGGGUCGCAGUGAAGAGGCUCAAGCAACUGUUUAACAAAAACACAGGUCUAUGCUAAGCUGGAAGGCGAUGUAUAUGGGCUGACACCUGCCCAGUGCUGGAAGGUUAAGAGGAGGAGUGAGAGCUCCGAAUUGAAGCCCCAGUGAACGGCGGCCGUAACUAUAACGGUCCUAAGGUAGCGAAAUUCCUUGUCGGGUAAG